UACGUAGGGAGCAAGCGUUGUCCGGAAUCAUUGGGCGUAAAGCGCGCGUAGGUGGCUUCGUAAGUCCGUUGUGAAAGUCAAAGGCUCAACCUUUGAAAGCCGAUGGAUACUGCGGAGCUAGAGUACGGAAGAGGCGAGUGGAAUUCCUGGUGUAGCGGUGGAAUGCGCAGAUAUCAAGAGGAACACCUGCGGCGAAGGCGGGUUGCUGGGCCGACACUGACGCUGAGGCGCGAAAGCCAGGGGAGCGAACGGG
This 253-nucleotide ribosomal RNA is filed under the name uncultured bacterium. Its description in RNAcentral is "partial 16S ribosomal RNA". It matches the Rfam family "Bacterial small subunit ribosomal RNA", at positions 524 to 776 of the family's 1533-position model. The record is from RNAcentral.